Molecule: ribosomal RNA, 504 nt
Filed under: uncultured bacterium
Lineage: Bacteria
Description: partial 16S ribosomal RNA
Rfam family: Bacterial small subunit ribosomal RNA
Source: RNAcentral
ACGCACGCUGGCGGCGUGCCUCAUCCAUGCAAGUAGAACGCACAGUUUAUACCGUAGCUUGCUACACCAUAGACUGUGAGUUGCGAACGGGUGAGUAACGCGUAGGUAACCUGCCUGGUAGCGGGGGAUAACUAUUGGAAACGAUAGCUAAUACCGCAUAAUAUUAAUUAUUGCAUGAUAAUUAAUUGAAAGGUGCAAUUGCACCACUACCAGAUGGACCUGCGUUGUAUUAGCUAGUAGGUGAGGUAACGGCUCACCUAGGCGACGAUACAUAGCCGACCUGAGAGGGUGAUCGGCCACACUGGGACUGAGACACGGCCCAGACUCCUACGGGAGGCAGCAGUAGGGAAUCUUCGGCAAUGGACGAAAGUCUGACCGAGCAACGCCGCGUGAGUGAAGAAGGGUUUCGGAUCGUAAAGCUCUGUUGUAAGAGAAGAACGGGUGUGAGAGUGGAAAGUUCACACUGUGACGGUAUCUUACCAGAAAGGGACGGCUAACUACGUG